CUCCACAGUUGUGGCUGGUAUGGGAGCAAAGACCUCGCUGGGAGCUGAAGAAGAGAGGCCAGAGGGAGGCUAGGCCAGGGCUGGGUCUCCCCAGGCCCACUGAGCCUCUACUUCCCUGGUCCAAGCCCUGCCCACCCUCACUGGGACAAGCUGAGGGUCCCUGCUCUCUCGGAUACAGCGUGCCUGGCUCUCCAUGCCCAGGCCUCCGGCCUUCAGGAUCAAGAUUCUCAUCCACAGAAGAGGGAGCAAGAACCAGGCUUCCCCAGCUAGAGGAGGAGGAAGAGGAGGAAGAGCAGGAGGGGGAUGCGGAAGAGAGAGGAAGGAAGGAAGAGAAGGAAAUACCCCAAAUUUCUUUAUCUGUUUCCAUUUUACAUAACUCACAGAUGUUGCUGCCGUUUCACGGCCCUCUGGACACAGGAUGUUUUUUCGGUCCUUCAGAACAUGGGACUGAGAGUGGCAGUAUUUGCUUUCUUCAUCAAUGUACAUACAAUUGAGUUUUUCUUAUCUUCAUACAAUGGUUCCCAUGCUCUUUGAACCCUUUUCAAAGACUGCUAUUCAUUAUAACCCCUACGUUUUAUGUUAGCUUAAAAUAAGACUCACUAGCAUUUCACCAAGGAAGAAUUUAUGACGGAAGCCCUAAAUCAACCUGCUUUUUACAUAUAAUACACUUUGAACAUAAUUCCAGGUUAAUCAAUAUAGAUCUGCUCGAUUUUCUUUCUUUUAUAGUAAACAUUUUUAAAAUUUUUGCUAUAAGUAUAUGUUAGAUAUAACAAAAUACACAUAUACUAAGUUUGAUAAAAAUUUUACAUAUGUAUAUACUUAUUUAACCACUACCCAGAUCGACGUACUAAACAUUGCCAACACUCCAGAAGGUUCCCUCAUCUCCUUCCUAGUCAAUACCUCCUGCCCCCAUAGGCAGCUGUUCUGACUUCUGUCACCUCAGAUCAGUUUUGCCUAUUUGGAAAUUUU
RNAcentral lists this long non-coding RNA (969 nucleotides) under Equus caballus (horse). RNAcentral describes it as "lncRNA (ENSECAG00000054938.1)". The record is from RNAcentral. Lineage: Eukaryota; Metazoa; Chordata; Mammalia; Perissodactyla; Equidae.